Molecule: ribosomal RNA, 243 nt
Filed under: uncultured bacterium
Lineage: Bacteria
Description: partial 16S ribosomal RNA
Rfam family: Bacterial small subunit ribosomal RNA
Source: RNAcentral
GUAGGUAACCUGCCUUGUANCGGGGGAUAACUAUUGGAAACGAUAGCUAAUACCGCAUAACAAUGGAUGACACAUGUCAUUUAUUUGAAAGGGGCAAUUGCUCCACUACAAGAUGGACCUGCGUUGUAUUAGCUAGUAGGUGAGGUAAUGGCUCACCUAGGCGACGAUACAUAGCCGACCUGAGAGGGUGAUCGGCCACACUGGGACUGAGACACGGCCCAGACUCCUACGGGAGGCAGCAUG